RNAcentral lists this ribosomal RNA (565 nucleotides) under uncultured bacterium. RNAcentral's name for it is "partial 16S ribosomal RNA". It matches the Rfam family "Bacterial small subunit ribosomal RNA", at positions 355 to 911 of the family's 1533-position model. The record is from RNAcentral.
UGGGGAAUAUUGCACAAUGGGCGCAAGCCUGAUGCAGCCAUGCCGCGUGUGUGAAGAAGGCCUUCGGGUUGUAAAGCACUUUCAGCGAGGAGGAAGGUGGUGAACUUAAUACGUUCAUCAAUUGACGUUACUCGCAGAAGAAGCACCGGCUAACUCCGUGCCAGCAGCUGCGGUAAUACGGAGGGUGCAAGCGUUAAUCGGAAUUACUGGGCGUAAAGCGCACGCAGGCGGUUUGUUAAGUCAGAUGUGAAAUCCCCGGGCUCAACCUGGGAACUGCAUUUGAAACUGGCAAGCUAGAGUCUCGUAGAGGGGGGUAGAAUUCCAGGUGUAGCGGUGAAAUGCGUAGAGAUCUGGAGGAAUACCGGUGGCGAAGGCGGCCCCCUGGACGAAGACUGACGCUCAGGUGCGAAAGCGUGGGGAGCAAACAGGAUUAGAUACCCUGGUAGUCCACGCUGUAAACGAUGUCGAUUUGGAGGUUGUGCCCCUUGAGGCGUGGCUUCCGGAGCUAACGCGUUAAAUCGACCGCCUGGGGAGUACGGCCGCAAGGUUAAAACUCAAAGGAAUU